This 482-nucleotide ribosomal RNA is filed under the name uncultured bacterium. RNAcentral's name for it is "bacterial SSU rRNA". It matches the Rfam family "Bacterial small subunit ribosomal RNA", at positions 30 to 506 of the family's 1533-position model. The record is from RNAcentral.
UUGAACGCUGUCGGAAUGCUUUACACAUGCAAGUCGAGCGGCAGCGCGGGGGCAACCCUGGCGGCGAGCGGCGAACGGGUGAGUAACAUAUCGGAACGUACCCAGACGUGGGGGAUAACACAUCGAAAGAUGUGCUAAUACCGCAUACGACCUGAGGGUGAAAGGGGGGGAUCGCAAGACCUCUCGCGUUUGGAGCGGCCGAUAUCGGAUUAGCUAGUUGGUGAGGUAAAGGCUCACCAAGGCGACGAUCCGUAGCUGGUCUGAGAGGACGACCAGCCACACUGGAACUGAGACACGGUCCAGACUCCUACGGGAGGCAGCAGGGGGGAAUUUUGGACAAUGGGGGCAACCCUGAUCCAGCCAUUCCGCGUGAGUGAAGAAGGCCUUCGGGUUGUAAAACUCUUUCGGCAGGGACGAAACGGUGAGCUCUAACAUAGCUUGCUAAUGACGGUACCUGAAGAAGAAGCACCGGCUAACUACGU